RNAcentral lists this ribosomal RNA (497 nucleotides) under uncultured bacterium. RNAcentral's name for it is "partial 16S ribosomal RNA". It matches the Rfam family "Bacterial small subunit ribosomal RNA", at positions 28 to 507 of the family's 1533-position model. The record is from RNAcentral.
GACGAACGCUGGCGGCGUGCCUAAUACAUGCAAGUUGAGCGCUGAAGGUUGGUACUUGUACCAACUGGAUGAGCAGCGAACGGGUGAGUAACGCGUGGGGAAUCUGCCUUUGAGCGGGGGACAACAUUUGGAAACGAAUGCUAAUACCGCAUAAAAACUUUAAACACAAGUUUUAAGUUUGAAAGAUGCAAUUGCAUCACUCAAAGAUGAUCCCGCGUUGUAUUGGCUAGUUGGUGAGGUAAAGGCUCACCAAGGCGAUGAUACAUAGCCGACCUGAGAGGGGGAUCGGCCACAUUGGGACUGAGACACGGCCCAAACUCCUACGGGAGGCAGCAGUAGGGAAUCUUCGGCAAUGGACGAAAGUCUGACCGAGCAACGCCGCGUGAGUGAAGAAGGUUUUCGGAUCGUAAAACUCUGUUGGUAGAGAAGAACGUUGGUGAGAGUGGAAAGCUCAUCAAGUGACGGUAACUACCCAGAAAGGGACGGCUAACUACGUG